Molecule: ribosomal RNA, 432 nt
Filed under: uncultured bacterium
Lineage: Bacteria
Description: bacterial SSU rRNA
Rfam family: Bacterial small subunit ribosomal RNA
Source: RNAcentral
GGGCCCGCACAAGCGGUGGAGUAUGUGGUUUAAUUCGAUGCAACGCGAAGAACCUUACCAGGGCUUGACAUCCUGCGAAUCUCUGGGAAACCGGAGAGUGCCUUCGGGAGCGCAGUGACAGGUGGUGCAUGGCUGUCGUCAGCUCGUGUCGUGAGAUGUUGGGUUAAGUCCCGCAACGAGCGCAACCCACGUCUUUAGUUGCCAGCAUUUAGUUGGGCACUCUAGAGAGACCGCCGGUGACAAACCGGAGGAAGGUGUGGAUGACGUCAAGUCAUCAUGCCCCUUACAUCCUGGGCUACACACGUACUACAAUGCUACGGACAAAGAGCAGCAAGUUCGCGAGGACAAGCAAAUCUCAUAAACCGUGGCUCAGUUCAGAUCGUAGGCUGCAACUCGCCUACGUGAAGGAGGAAUCGCUAGUAAUCGCAGGUC